RNAcentral lists this unclassified non-coding RNA (532 nucleotides) under Hevea brasiliensis (rubber tree). The record is from RNAcentral. Lineage: Eukaryota; Viridiplantae; Streptophyta; Magnoliopsida; Malpighiales; Euphorbiaceae.
UGCCAUUGCUUGUUGAUUGAAAUAACAGCACAUGGUAUGAAUUUAAACGAUAAUGUGAAUACACACUAAUGAACCCAAAAUUCAGGGAAAAGGACUUCCGCAUUAUCAAUGGCCUCCAAUAGAUUUUUCAUAAUGCAGGAAUCCAAUGAGAAUAACCCUGUCAAACUCAGAAUCUUAUAAUUUGCUUUCCCAACAAAGCUCUGAGUAAAUAUUCUAAAUCAAAAAACCCAAUAGCAUGAGAAAAAUACCAAAAUCACCUGAUCUUCAAGUUUGAUCCAUUUCAAGCUUCUAAGGAGGCAAAAGGAAUCCUCCAGUCAUAUUCAUAGCUACGUCGUUCAUGGUCACCAUCAAACACUAAAACAGUGUCAACAUACUGCAUUGAAUCUGACUCAUCAACCAAAACCAGGAGGCACAUCAGGGUCCUCAUCACAAUCGUCACAUGGCUGCCUUUGCUCAAUAUCUGUAGAAAAGCCAGGUGGCAAACCAGGAUCAACAUCAUCAGCCUCCAGCUUAUCUUUUGAGUGGUUAACCC